UCCUCUUCAUUUUAGUCUUGAUGCAAUGG
Molecule: non-coding RNA, 29 nt
Filed under: Rattus norvegicus (Norway rat)
Lineage: Eukaryota; Metazoa; Chordata; Mammalia; Rodentia; Muridae
Source: RNAcentral